RNAcentral lists this ribosomal RNA (227 nucleotides) under uncultured bacterium. RNAcentral describes it as "partial 16S ribosomal RNA". It matches the Rfam family "Bacterial small subunit ribosomal RNA", at positions 107 to 334 of the family's 1533-position model. The record is from RNAcentral.
UGAGUAACACGUAUCCAACCUGCCGUCUACUCUUGGACAGCCUUCUGAAAGGAAGAUUAAUACAAGAUGGCAUCAUGAGUCCGCAUGUUCACAUGAUUAAAGGUAUUCCGGUAGACGAUGGGGAUGCGUUCCAUUAGAUAGUAGGCGGGGUAACGGCCCACCUAGUCUUCGAUGGAUAGGGGUCCUGAGAGGAAGGUCCCCCACAUUGGAACUGAGACACGGUCCAA